CAGGGGUUCGCGCCACGCCCCCUACCCUCGCCGCAGCCAGCAGCGUCACACAGCAGAACGCAGGGCCGUGGGGACUCCGAAGCCCAGCAUGCACCUGGGCUCACUAAGACUACAGAGCCCAACAUGCACCGGGGCUACAGCGUCCAUAAGGUUCCAAACGCAGCGCGCAGUGCGCUGCCGCCGUUACUUUCCCAGAGUGGGAAGCCAUCUGACCACAAUGAGUGAGUGUCACUUCACUGGAAUGCAACAGCCAUGAAAAGAGACAAGUGUUCACGACUAGAGGUCAUCAUUACUUCUCCAUGUAUGCAAUCUGAACAGCUUUAGCUUAAAACCUUGAUUUAAAUAAUCAGUUUUAAUCUUGUUUUAUACUUGUAUUUUUCAGUUAUUUUCCUAAAAAAAAGUUGAUUCUCAUUGGUUGGUCAUCUCUAAAAUAUGUCAAGACUGAAACUGGUUGCCUAUUGGUGGUAUCCGCUCCUUACUUAAAGGGUCAGACUAUUUAAAAAUACAUCAGUGUGUUUCAGCUGGAUUUCAAAGUUUGAGAAGAAUGGCAGCAUCUCAUUUCUCUUCCAAAUACUUCAGAGCCUUGUCAACAAACACAAUCUUGGAUCUUUAUAGCUAGCAGCUUUCCAGGCACGGGGUUCGGCAAGUUGAUUUUACAAUAUUACACAUUUGUGCAGCUAUAUGAUUAAAAAUGUGGACAUGUAGCUAAACUAAGUGUCCACUGAUAUCAAGAAGUUUUUCUUGUAUGCUUGUACACUAUUGAAAAAUGGGAAACCAAUGCAUGAAUGUAGUAAAAUGGAUUAACAUGCUCAGCAAGAUUUUUCAGUACAGCACAUUUAACCAGACAAUGCAGGGACUUAAUAAGAGAGGUAACACAACCUGUAUGGAAACAACAGAUAUCCUUCACUGAAGACAUUCUUGGAUUUGACCAGAAAAUGGUGACUGAAAAUAAACAAAGAGCAAUUUGCAGAAAUCAUCUUUUAUUAAACUGAUUCCACCACACACAUCUGGGAAAAGAUGAUCUAGAGAAUGUAAAUUCUCCUCCAGAUGUAUAAUAGUACUGAACUGUGGGAAGUCCUGUUCGAGUAUGUCUCACUAUUACUAUUAUGGAGUGGCAUUAUGCUACAAGCAAUAAAAUGGCCAUUAACCAGGAACAAUAUUACCAUUGUUGAAAACUUGUUCAGAAUUGUGAAAAAUGACAAACUCCAUUGCAGAGCUUCAGAGUUUGUGGAAAUUAUGAACUUCACAAUUAAAGCUAAACUGUGGGGCAACUGCAGUAAGCAUUUUGCAUGUCAGUAACAGGAAUCUAAGAAUAUAGUAGCUAACAAGGUUGUGGAUUUAGAUAUUCCAGAGCCUCACACUCAAGGUAAGACUUGCAAUAAAAAUCCACAUUCAACACCCAAGAAGCAAGGCAAAUAUUUUUCAGGAUCCUCAAGAGCAGCUCCAAAAACCCAAACCAUACUUUCUUUAUCUUACUUCCCUUGUGUAACAAGCAAAAGAAAGUCACUAACAACAAAUGUAUUUAUUUCUAACACAAUUAAAAUUUGAUAAAUAAAGCCUUUUUUCUGUUCAAAAGUUGUCGAAGAACAAGCAAGCAUUGUUACAGGCUUCCUAAUUUCUAGCUGUCCAUACAAUUUGUGAAAACAUUACAGAUGGAUUUACAAAUAUUGAA
Molecule: long non-coding RNA, 1672 nt
Organism: Chelonia mydas (Green sea turtle)
Lineage: Eukaryota; Metazoa; Chordata; Testudines; Cheloniidae
Exons: 2
Source: RefSeq, a predicted model, not a curated record